CUGAUGGUUAAUACCUGUAUGGAGGUAAAUAUGGCUAAUGGUUAAUACCUGUAUAGAGGUAAAUAUGGCUGAUGGUUAAUACCUGUAUAGAGGUAAAUAUGGCUGAUGGUUAAUACCUGUAUAGAGGUUAUCAUGGCUGAUGGUUUAUACCUGUAUAGAAU
Molecule: long non-coding RNA, 161 nt
Organism: Mytilus californianus (California mussel)
Lineage: Eukaryota; Metazoa; Mollusca; Bivalvia; Mytilida; Mytilidae
Exons: 3
Source: RefSeq, a predicted model, not a curated record